RNAcentral lists this transfer RNA (87 nucleotides) under Peptococcaceae bacterium. RNAcentral's name for it is "tRNA-Leu". It matches the Rfam family "tRNA". From Rfam's summary of the family: Transfer RNA (tRNA) molecules are approximately 80 nucleotides in length. Their secondary structure includes four short double-helical elements and three loops (D, anti-codon, and T loops). The record is from RNAcentral. Lineage: Bacteria; Bacillati; Bacillota; Clostridia; Eubacteriales; Peptococcaceae.
GCGGUCGUGGCGGAACUGGCAGACGCGCUAGUUUCAGGUACUAGUGCUCGCAAGGGCGUGGAGGUUCAAGUCCUCUCGACCGCACCA